RNAcentral lists this ribosomal RNA (1089 nucleotides) under Triticum aestivum (bread wheat). Its description in RNAcentral is "partial small subunit ribosomal RNA". The record is from RNAcentral. Lineage: Eukaryota; Viridiplantae; Streptophyta; Magnoliopsida; Poales; Poaceae.
AUGUCCCGCAUCGCGAGGUCGCGCUUCGCCCUCACGCUCAGGUCCUCCGCCGCCCCCUUCUCCACCAUUUCACCCGCCGCCGCCGCCGCCGCAUCCCUCGCUUCGAAGGAGGCGCCUGCCGGCGCCGACGCAUCUUCCGCUCCCAAGGAGGCGGCCGCCGCUGGCGAUCCCUCCCCGGCGCCGCCUUCGGGGACCCGCAGCUCCUUCCGUCUGCUUAAGGCCGGUAUCUUCACCGCCGUCACCGCCGCGCUCGGCGCCACAGGCUAUGUCACAUACGCUUAUUCCGUGGAUGAAGUGGAUCAGAUGACGCGGGAGUUCCGGAAGAACUCGAAGCUCCCAAUCAGCGAGGACUUGUCCUGCUUUGAGAAGUUUAAGGCUAUGGCUUAUUCAGAAACUGUGAAAGUUCCUGCUGCUGCUAUUGACCUGUACUUGGAUGUCAGGAGCCAAAUUGAAGAUCAAAUUCAGGGAUUUGUUGAACCAUCAUCAGAAAAACUCCUUCCAGAUCUACCUCCUCAAGAACAGCAUGUCUUUACCAUAGUUCUGGAUCUGAAUGAGACUCUUGUAUACUCAGAUUGGAAGCGUGAGAGAGGAUGGAGGACUUUUAAGAGACCAGGAGUGGAUGCCUUUUUGGAACAUCUUGCGAAGUUCUAUGAAGUUGUUGUGUAUUCUGAUCAAUUAAGUAUGUACGUUGAUCCUGUUAUGGAAAGACUGGAUGCAAAAGGCUGUGUCCGGCACAGGCUAUCAAGAGUUGCAACUAAAUAUGUGAAUGGAAAACACUAUCGGGAUUUGUCAAAGCUGAAUAGAGACCCUGCACGAGUUAUUUAUAUCAGUGGGCAUGCUCUUGACUCAUGCCUGCAGCCUGAAAAUUGUUUGCCGAUCAAACCAUGGAAGCUUGAAGCUGAGGACACUCAACUGAUUGAUCUUAUUCCAUUGCUUGAAUUUGUCGCUACGGCAAGAGUUUCUGACAUCAGACCUGUCCUUGCAUCCUUUGAAGGCCGUGACAUUGCUGCUGAAUUUCUUGAGCGUUCAAGGCGCGUGUAUGAACAAAAAGAACAAAAACAACAACAUGGACGCAUUUGGCGGCGAUGA